GACUAGGUGCAGCGCUGCUUUUGCCGGUUCCGAAGCGCUGACCGAAUCAAAAGAACCGCGCUACGCACGUAGUCUUUUCAUUUCGGGCUUUUUCGGACGGGGGUUCAACUCCCCCCGCCUCCACCA
This 126-nucleotide transfer-messenger RNA is filed under the name Acidobacteriota bacterium. Its description in RNAcentral is "partial transfer-messenger RNA". It matches the Rfam family "transfer-messenger RNA", at positions 236 to 374 of the family's 374-position model. Rfam says of the family: Bacterial tmRNA, also known as 10Sa RNA or SsrA, is named for its dual tRNA and mRNA-like properties. Its role is to liberate the mRNA from a stalled ribosome. The record is from RNAcentral. Lineage: Bacteria; Pseudomonadati; Acidobacteriota.